UGGUCUGUUGUCUCAUUGUGCAUUAUAUCCUCCAGGUGAGCAUGUCAGUGAUCUGGGUGAAAUCAGAACCUGAACCGGUCCCUUGGUGGGUGGUGACCUUGGCCCUGAUCUCUGGACUACUGCUACUGGCUCUGCUUAUCUUCGUCAUGUACAAGCUGGGUUUCUUCGAGCGUGUACGCCCCCCGCAGGAAGACAGCGCGGAGAAGGAGCAGCUGGCACCGCAGGAGAACGGUGACAGGAACACCGAUGCUUGAUGGGGCUCCCGACACACGACCCUGUGUAGCUGUCUGAAUAGGUUUCCCCAUGUAGUGCACUACUUUGGAACAGAGCGCUAUGGGAUAGCACCAGUACACACAGUCCCAUCUACUCUUUAUAAUCAUACUCACACUGUACCCUGCAUCCUGAAGCCCCGUCGUCUACUACUCCUCUUGCAUAUACUUAGACAACACUGCUGUAUGAAAUGGCUGGGAGGAGCAAACAAGUGAUUCGAUAUUAAAAAUGCUGAUGUAAAUCAUAUUUGAAAAGGACUCCCGAUCUUCUUCUGGUUAUUGGUCCUGCAUCUUUUAGUGCACUUGGGACUUUCAGUGUAAAAAUGAAUUGCUACAACAAUGUGAAUUUCGAGACUGCAAGGAAUCAAUUACAAUGCUGUACGGUCUUUGAAGACAAUAGUUAAUGAAAUGGUUUUUGAAUGGGCACUGCAGGGUGUGGAUAUGGACUUAUUGUUGAGAGUAUUGUAUGUUAUGCUUCUGCAAUUGAUGACAACCCCGGGCAAUUUUCCACUCUCCAGAUACAGGAUUAUACAAUUGUAUGUGCACGUCACUGUGUAUUAAAAGGAUGAAUUGACCCAUAUUGGGUAAUCAACGUGGAACUUAAAAUUGUUUUUGUUUUUUGCAUUCGAGCACUAUAGUAUCUAAUUACCCAUCACCCACUGCUUCGUCUGUUUUACUAUUUAUCUUAAAGCACGUUUCAUGUUACAAUAAUGUCAUUUUACCAGACUUUUUUUUCAAUUGAUUUCUAGUUGUUCCUUGUUCAUACUUUUGGGUGUUUAAAAAAAAAAAGGAAUAUUACUGAAAAUGAUGACAUGUUCCUUCCCCACAUAUCUGGUUGAGCUGACAACGUUUUGAUCUUUCCUGAAUUAAAUGUUUUAAAACCAUAA
Oncorhynchus gorbuscha (pink salmon) is the source of this 1156-nucleotide long non-coding RNA. RefSeq lists it as uncharacterized. The transcript is spliced from 2 exons. The record is from RefSeq and is a predicted model, not a curated record. Lineage: Eukaryota; Metazoa; Chordata; Actinopteri; Salmoniformes; Salmonidae.